AUACGUAGGGGGCGAGCGUUGUCCGGAAUGAUUGGGCGUAAAGGGCGCGUAGGCGGCUUUGCAAGUCAGUAGUGGAAGUCCAUUUUUCAAGGAUGAAGUGCUACAGAAACUGCGGAGCUUGAGUGCAGGAGAGGUUAUCGGAAUUCCCGGUGUAGCGGUGAAAUGCGUAGAGAUCGGGAGGAACACCAGUGGCGAAGGCGGGUAACUGGACUGCAACUGACGCUGAGGCGCGAAAGUGUGGGGAGCAAACAGGAUUAGAUACCCUGGUAGUCCACACUGUAAACGAUGAAUGCUAGGUGUAGGAGGUAUCGACCCCUUCUGUGCCGCAGUAAACACAGUAAGCAUUCCGCCUGGGGAGUACGGUCGCAAGAUUAAAACUCAAAGGAAUUGACGGGG
RNAcentral lists this ribosomal RNA (396 nucleotides) under uncultured bacterium. Its description in RNAcentral is "partial 16S ribosomal RNA". It matches the Rfam family "Bacterial small subunit ribosomal RNA", at positions 523 to 918 of the family's 1533-position model. The record is from RNAcentral.